GACGAACGCUGGCGGCGUGCUUAACACAUGCAAGUCGAGCGAUGAAGUUCCUUCGGGGACGGAUUAGCGGCGGACGGGUGAGUAACACGUGGGUAACCUGCCUCAUAGAGGGGAAUAGCCUUUCGAAAGGAAGAUUAAUACCGCAUAAGAUUGUAGCUUCGCAUGAAGCAGCAAUUAAAGGAGUAAUCCGCUAUGAGAUGGACCCGCGUCGCAUUAGCUAGUUGGUGAGGUAACGGCUCACCAAGGCGACGAUGCGUAGCCGACCUGAGAGGGUGAUCGGCCACAUUGGGACUGAGACACGGCCCAG
RNAcentral lists this ribosomal RNA (307 nucleotides) under uncultured Clostridium sp. RNAcentral describes it as "bacterial SSU rRNA". It matches the Rfam family "Bacterial small subunit ribosomal RNA", at positions 28 to 334 of the family's 1533-position model. The record is from RNAcentral. Lineage: Bacteria; Bacillati; Bacillota; Clostridia; Eubacteriales; Clostridiaceae.